This 648-nucleotide ribosomal RNA is filed under the name uncultured fungus. Its description in RNAcentral is "eukaryotic LSU rRNA". The stretch from base 235 to 389 matches the Rfam family "5.8S ribosomal RNA". The record is from RNAcentral. Lineage: Eukaryota; Fungi.
GGAAGGAUCAUUAUCGAAGUCGAAAGUCUAGGAAGGGGAAGGGGAUGCGACCGUCGCCGCGUCGAAAGGCGUGGGCACGUCGCCCCUCGGACCCUCCGAAGCUUCAACCUUCUCUACACCCGUGUGCACCGCUGUAGGCCCUUCGGGGUCUAUGUCUUCUCUCUCGAACUCGCAUGUCUACAGAAUGUCUAAGUCGCGUCGACCGGCCUGGCCGGCGACCGCAAACCUUUGUACAACUUUCAGCAAUGGAUCUCUUGGCUCUCGCAUCGAUGAAGAACGCAGCGAAUCGCGAUAAGUAAUGUGAAUUGCAGAUUUUCCGUGAAUCAUCGAAUCUUUGAACGCACCUUGCGCUCCUCGGUAUUCCGAGGAGCAUGCCUGUUUGAGUGUCAUCGAAAUCUCGAACCGAAGCCUUCGAUCCGUCGAAGUUCGGUCUCGGAACUUAUGGGGGUCUGCGGGCGGCGACGUCGGCUCUCCUCAAAAGCAUUAGCUGUGGGCGCUGGCCCUGCGUGGCACGGCCUCUUCGACGUCGUAAUGAUCGUCGUGGGCUGGAAGCGCAUGGGGAUCGGCACGUCCCAUGCUUCUCAACCUACUGCGAGUCCGUUUGCUCCGUGGACGGCCGCGUGCAUCGACUCUUGACCUCAAAUCAGG